GUCGCCUACGGGACGCAGCAGUGGGGAAUAUUGCGCAAUGGGCGAAAGCCUGACGCAGCGACGCCGCGUGAGGGAUGAAGGACUUCGGAUCGUAAACCCCUGUCAGCAGGGAAGAACGGUCACUGUGCUAAUCAGCAGUGAAUUGACGGUACCUGCAAAGGAAGCACCGGCUAACUCCGUGCCAGCAGCCGCGGUAAUACGGAGGGUGCGAGCGUUAAUCGGAAUUACUGGGCGUAAAGCGCUCGUAGGCGGGAUGUCAAGUCAAGGGUGAAAUCCCCGCGAUCAACGUGGGAACUGCCUUUGAA
Molecule: ribosomal RNA, 305 nt
Filed under: uncultured bacterium
Lineage: Bacteria
Description: bacterial SSU rRNA
Rfam family: Bacterial small subunit ribosomal RNA
Source: RNAcentral